CCUACGGGAGGCAGCAGUCGAGAAUCAUUCACAAUGGGGGAAACCCUGAUGGUGCGACGCCGCGUGGGGGAAUGAAGGUCUUCGGAUUGUAAACCCCUGUCAUGUGGGAGCAAAUUAAAAAGAUAGUACCACAAGAGGAAGAGACGGCUAACUCUGUGCCAGCAGCCGCGGUAAUACAGAGGUCUCAAGCGUUGUUCGGAAUCACUGGGCGUAAAGGGUGCGUAGGCUGUUUCGUAAGUCGUGUGUGAAAGGCGCGGGCUCAACCCGCGGACGGCACAUGAUACUGCGAGACUAGAGUAAUGGAGGGGGAACCGGAAGUCUCGGUGUAGCAGUGAAAUGCGUAGAUAUCGAGAGGAACACUCGUGGCGAAGGCGGGUUCCUGGACAUUAACUGACGCUGAGGCACGAAGGCCAGGGGAGCGAAAGGGAUUAGAUACCCCAGUAGUC
Molecule: ribosomal RNA, 446 nt
Filed under: uncultured bacterium
Lineage: Bacteria
Description: partial 16S ribosomal RNA
Rfam family: Bacterial small subunit ribosomal RNA
Source: RNAcentral